Molecule: ribosomal RNA, 438 nt
Filed under: uncultured bacterium
Lineage: Bacteria
Description: bacterial SSU rRNA
Rfam family: Bacterial small subunit ribosomal RNA
Source: RNAcentral
GGGCCUUGCGCGAUUAGAUGAGCCGAUGUCCGAUUAGCUAGUUGGCGGGGUAAAGGCCCACCAAGGCGACGAUCGGUAGCUGGUCUGAGAGGAUGAUCAGCCACACUGGAACUGAGACACGGUCCAGACUCCUACGGGAGGCAGCAGUGGGGAAUAUUGGACAAUGGGCGCAAGCCUGAUCCAGCCAUNCCGCGUGGGUGAAGAAGGCCUUCGGGUUGUAAAGCCCUUUUGUUGGGAAAGAAAAGCAANUCGGUUAAUACCCGGUUGUUCUGACGGUACCCAAAGAAUAAGCACCGGCUAACUUCGUGCCAGCAGCCGCGGUAAUACGAAGGGUGCAAGCGUUACUCGGAAUUACUGGGCGUAAAGCGUGCGUAGGUGGUGAUUUAAGUCCGUUGUGAAAGCCCUGGGCUCAACCUGGGAAUUGCAGUGGAUACUGGG